This 502-nucleotide long non-coding RNA is filed under the name Homo sapiens (human). Its description in RNAcentral is "non-protein coding lnc-XPO1-4:1". Lineage: Eukaryota; Metazoa; Chordata; Mammalia; Primates; Hominidae. The record is from RNAcentral.
CAUUCUUCUAUGUGUGUUUUGGUGAACAUGUGUGUGCAUUUAAUUUGGAUGUAUAUCUAGAAGUAAAUGUCUUAUCAGGGUGUUUGUGUGUGUGUGUGUGUACAUAUAUAUAUAUAUAUAUAUUCUUUUUCUGAGAUGGAGUCUUGCUCUGUCGCCCAGGCUGGAGUGCAGUGGCGUGAUCUCAGCUCACUGCAAGCUCUGCCUCGCGGGUUCACACCAUUCUCUUGCAUCAGCCUCCUGAGUAGCUGGGGCUACAGGCGCCCACCACCAUGCCUGGCUAAUUUUUUGUAUUUUUAGUAGAGGCAGGGUUUCACCGUGUUAGCUAGGAUGGUCUCGAUCUCCUGACCUCAUGAUCCGCCUGCAUCGGCCUCCCAAAGUGCUGAAAUUACAGGUGUGAGCCACCAUGCCCAAUCUUUUUUUUUUUUUUUUUUAAACUCCCCUGUACCCCCACAUCCCCUCGAGUAUGCAUAUUUUCAAACUUGGGUGUUAAACCUAUGGUUUC